GCGGAAGUGACGCCACACGCUCCGGGCGUUCGAGCUAAGCCCGUGGCCAAUCAGAGCCGCCCGUGUGGGCAGGUGAUUCCUUUUCCUGGUUGCGCGAGGUCGCUGCGUGCCGCCUUGGCUGCGGCGGUUUGUGCGCCACUCGGUUGGGUUUCUCUUGGGAGUUUGGUCCCAGGGGAAAGGGAUUUAGACCCAGUCGCUGUGUUUUAGAGUUUCUAUCGGUGGUUUGAUUUUUUUUCUUGUUUUAUACACACACGAAGAUGGUCUCGUGACCCUUAUGCACUUGGCGAAUGCGUGACUCUUGGCUCCUACGGAGCAUCCGAGGUCUCAAGAGUUAAAUUUGUUAAGGUUCUUCACAGAGAACUAGAGUCAGGGAAUCCCACCUCGCCGAAUGACUCCCAUCAAGAGUCCUUGAGCCUUUCUCACAGAUGUGUCCAGCCGGAAGUCGUAGACUGCCUCAUUACUCACCUAAGAUUGGGUCCGUUUUUCAGAGAUUGCCAGAAUAAUUCCAUCAGUGCACCUCUGCUCCUGACUGCCAUGAGGGGAGCAGCCUCCUCAGCUACAAACUCAACUGAGUGCCAUCCAAAGUGCCAAGAUCUGAUGACAUUUUUCAUCCUAUUUGAUUUCUGGUUGUGUUGCAUCUACUCAUUUAUUCUUUCCUGGAAGUCUUUGGGUUACAAAGUUUCAAGGCAGAAGAUCUUGCUUUCAGCAACACCUGCACAGAGGAGGUAGAAACGGAAGACAGGAUGUUGGGGUAAUAGGCAAUAGGUUGAAAGCAAUUGCUCCCCAAACUGAAUCCUAUUGAUCACUGCUCAGAGGGAAAUCCAGUCAGUUCCACAUGUAGUCCCAUCUUGCAGCCAACAUUAUGCAAGUGACUAAAACUUUGGGUUCUUUGAGGAAAUUGGAGUGGGGACAACAGAGAGAGACUCAAGAUGUUAGCAGUAUGCACUAAUGCCAAAGGAAUGGAAUAAGGAAAAGGAGCCAUGUUGAUUCACCAGGCUGAUGGCCAGGUUCUGAGGAAGCAGUAACUUAAGUGGGAUCAGUGAUGCAGAGAAAAUGUCUCAAGUUGGUGUGCUAUAAAAAUA
This is a long non-coding RNA of Mesocricetus auratus (golden hamster), 1082 nucleotides long. RefSeq lists it as uncharacterized. NCBI's taxonomy places the organism in Eukaryota, Metazoa, Chordata, Mammalia, Rodentia, Cricetidae. The record is from RefSeq and is a predicted model, not a curated record. The transcript has 3 exons.